UGUUCAAUAUAUCUAUAUCUAUAUAUGAAAUCAUCAUCUGCUUCAAUGAGAAAUAUAUAUCAAUACUUCCAAUACAGAAACAGAUUGUAUUUUUUUUGAAAAUUCAUGUUCCAUGCAUAGAUAGCUAGAGAGAAUUACUCGAUCGUCUCUCGAUCGAUCGCCACUUUCAUUUCAGGCUCCGAAGAACACACUGCCUGAGCAUCCCACCCGGCUCCAAAGAUGGAAAGUUGAGGCGCGUUCAACAACGGGUGGUGAUCGUAUGGAAAGGCUCCAUUAGAUACUUGGGGUAGUUCAUGAUGUUCUUGGAGUAAUUGGGCGUUAAAUAGUUCCUCGUCAAUUAACGAGUUCAAGAAUGACGAAAAAGUGUCAUCGUUGUUCCCAUAAUUUAUCUGAUCAUCGUGAUCAUGCUCUUCUUUGUUGCUUAUCACUCCAAUUGCCUCGUUAUUUUCAGGUAUAGGACUCGAAUUUCUAUUUUCUUUUGGCUGUUGUUGUUGUUCUGGUUGUUGGUGAUGAUGAUGGAUGACAUGGAUAUUAGGGUUAGGGUUUGAGAUAGAAUUGGAUGGUUUAUUCUCUUGUUGAUCAGGAGGAUAGGUAAGAUUGACGAGUGGCUUGUGGGUUCUUGGAUCUAUACCUUGACUAAUAAGUUUCUUACUGAGAUGGGUAUUCCAGUAAUUCUUGAUUUCAUUAUCGGUUCUUCCAGGAAUUCUUCCGGCUAUCAAAGACCAUCUACAA
Impatiens glandulifera is the source of this 732-nucleotide long non-coding RNA. RefSeq lists it as uncharacterized. Lineage: Eukaryota; Viridiplantae; Streptophyta; Magnoliopsida; Ericales; Balsaminaceae. The record is from RefSeq and is a predicted model, not a curated record. The transcript is spliced from 2 exons.